GAUCUGCCCUGCAGGGAGUUCCACUUUCUUUCACAAUCUAAUCCAGAAAGACUCAGCUUCACAAAAAGCUUUUCACCAGACUUUUCAACCUACCCGUAGAUUAACCACCGGCUGAUGAAGGGCUUCAGCAUCUUUGGAAACUGAAAUAGAAUAGACACUACAAACAAAGGUUUCUACACAAGAUGAAGAAAUCAUUGACACCACGUUUGACCAAGGAUGUGAGUGGCUGCAUCAGUGACAGACCUGACUGACUCUGCAUAUCUGAACAAUGGAUUAUGAACUUUAGAUUCAUCCUCUAGGAUGCAACUGUCCACUUGGAGUUUUGCUAUAACAUCACUGAAGUGAGAACAUUUAGCUGAAGCAGCCUGAAACCCUGUGCCGCCAACAAGAGUUCCCUUUCCUCCACCUCCAAAGCAUGAAAUUCAAGUUGAAGGAUACGCUCGAUGACACAGGUACAUUUCAGAGUCACAAAGAGCAGGACUUCUAUGCUAUAUGCUAUAUGCUUGUUCUGCUAUACUGUGGAUUGGUUUUGGUCAGGUGUGAUGUCAUUUCCUGUCUUUUCAGUAAAUUAGUGUUUCAUCAGUGACUGUUUUUGAAAAAAAUGUCAAAUAAUUAAAUGAACUGAAACAUCAAGAACACCCUGGUCAAGAAAUGUAUGAUUAAAAAUCGUGAAUGGUUGCUUACCUAAUCCUUUUUGUUUUUUAAAGUGAAUUUAUUAUCUCUAAAUCAAUGUUUCUCUAUUCUUUCUCUGCGUCAGUAUACAAGCCUAGUCACCAGUGUUCACAGAUCAGUGAUAAAUAAAUACAAACAUACAGAAGUUCCUUUUUUCACAGUAAAAGUAAACUUGUCUUCUUUCAUCAUGACUUCUUAAGUCAAAGUUGUGUAA
Molecule: long non-coding RNA, 886 nt
Organism: Oreochromis aureus
Lineage: Eukaryota; Metazoa; Chordata; Actinopteri; Cichliformes; Cichlidae
Exons: 4
Source: RefSeq, a predicted model, not a curated record